This is a long non-coding RNA of Oncorhynchus masou masou (cherry salmon), 3150 nucleotides long. RefSeq lists it as uncharacterized. NCBI's taxonomy places the organism in Eukaryota, Metazoa, Chordata, Actinopteri, Salmoniformes, Salmonidae. The record is from RefSeq and is a predicted model, not a curated record. The transcript is spliced from 6 exons.
UUGGAGCACCAUUCCUUGUUUGAUAUCGCAUGCGUAACGAACUCCAUUCUCGCCUUGACGAUCAGAGGAGUUGCUGUGAGGCUUGUUACGCGCAGCUGUAUUUCGGAAAGUUGUAUUUUCAACGAUUUCAUUGAAGAUAUCAUGGCGAAUAAAUCAGGAAAAGCGAAGUCAAAGUCUAAAGUGAAAGUGAAAAAGUAAAAGUGAGAGAUUAUUUGUUUGAAUCAUAACACUCAGAUUCCUCAAACAGGAACUGAGUUUCUGCAAGGACAGGACGUACUUCUGGACGGAAUGGAAACCAUGCAGAGGUGCCUUGACUGGGAUAGGGGGAGGCUGAUAAAUGUUGCUUCAGCAGAUUAUCUCAGUUCAUUCAGGAGAUUCAUUCCUCUGGCUGGCAUGCACAACAAGCCAGUUCCGGUUACCGUGCUCCUCGGACUUGGAGAGGAGCACCUUGUUUAUGCCAUCACUCAAGAGCAACUGAGGUUUCUGAUGUCCUAUGCUUUCAGUGCGUCUCUGAUGGCAGAUAUUCUACAUGUGUCCCGAUCAAAACUCAAACAUCGUCUAAGACUUGGCUCUGGAUGAAAAGAUUAAGGACUUGGUGGCUGGGAACGACAAACUUGGACCGGAAGCUGUUCGAGCACAAUUAAGGGCAUUGGGAAUCCGGGUGCAGAGACGCAGAGUGAGGGACAGCAUGAUUUGUGUUAACCCGAGGGUGGCUGCCCUCAGAGCCAUGUCGCAGAGGCUACAUAGAAGGUCAUAAAGUGUUGCUGGACAAAACUCGUUAUGGCACCUUGAUGGAAACUUCAAACUGAUAAGGUGGAGGAUAGUUAUACAUGGUGGCAUUGAUGGGUACAGCUACCUUGUGUUUCUCCGUGCUUCCAGCAACAAUCGCAGCAGUACUGUAAUGCAUUGCUUCAUGAAUGCUGUCUCCAGAUAUGGCAUUCCCUCCAGAGUUAGGAUGGACCAUGGAGGAGAAAACAACACUGUCUGCUUGUUGAAUGUAAUACAUAUUCAAAAUAUUAUUUAAAAAAUAGAGCUACAUUCAUCCUUAAAAUGUCAUCUUGACCUAUACAUUGAUUACAUUCUAUAGUGAGUGAUGCAUGCGGCUAAAUUUCUUUUCUGUAAAUCAUUUUCAGAAUGCAAUCACAGUAUGUUUGACAGCUUUAUUGCUUUCUCCAUAUUUUUGAAAUGUAUAAGCCUUUAAAUAACCUUUUACUGACUAUUUCUACAAAUGAGGCUAUACUUGUGGCAGCACCUAUUCCUGUGACACUGCUUCUUAUGGCCCCCCUCCACCUAUACCACUUCCUGUGGCCUCCCCUCCACCAUUUCCUGAGGCUUAUCGUCCACCACACUCUGAUGUUGGUGAUGACAAUGAGUAAGUCAUAAUUAAAUGUCUUGUUAUUACAGAUGAAUUGUGGGAAGUAUCUGAGCUUUGUUAUUCUGAAUGUCUCUUUUAGUGUUGACCUCCAAACACUGAAGUUAAUGAGAUGCCAACCAAAUUAACAUGAUGAGGGACAAAGUUUAUGAUUGUGCAAUGAGAGGCUUUAAGAGAGCCCAUUUUAAUCCGGGGGUAAAAAUAGACAUGGUUUAGGGAUGCUGACGGAAAAGGGGCAUCUGAUGAGGGUGGUUCCUCAAGAGAAAAUCUCUGGCUGCUAAUGAGUGCCAUCCAUUUCUCUGCAAUAUUUGAGGGACCUGAUUGACACAAAAACCUUUCUUGCAACUCUCAAGGUGAGUUACACCAACAAAGACAUUUGUUUAUGGCAAUAUAUGACUUGAGUAAAACAUUUGAUUUGUAUGUGAUGUGUCCCUUAUUUACUGUUUGUCUUCUGUGUGACAGCAAAAUGGGGGUGUAGAGCCACAUUUUUUCAGAGGCUAUACAAGCAAGUGUGUGACCUACAACCUCCUGUGCCAGAACUGAAAGAAAUUGCAGAAUAUGACUUCAGAGAGAAGUUGGAGAAGGGGGGACACAUACCCUUUAACCAUGGAGAAGGUUUUCAUUUUCACUUCGGGGGCUUCAGCAUUCCUAGGCUGGGAUUGCCAGUAGAGCCACAGCUACAGUUCUCUGCAACCGCACGGCAAGCUGUACCGGAGGGCCAAGUCUAGGUCCAAGAGGCUUCUAAACAGAUUCUACCCCAAGCCCUAAGAUUACUGAACAUCUAAUCAAAUGGCUACCCAGACUAUUUGUUGAUACUCUAUCUAUGCAUAGUCACUUCAAUAUCUCUACUGUCGCGCCCUGACCAUAAAGAGACAUUGUUCUCUAUGGUGAAGUAGGUCAGGGUGUGACUGGGGGUGAUCUAGUUUAUUUAUUUCUGUGGUGUUCUAGUUUAUUUUCUAUGGUGGUGAUUUGUAUGAUUCCCAAUUAGAGGCAGCUGGUAAUCGUUGUCUCUAAUUGGGGAUCAUAUUUAAGUAGUUGUUUUUCCCACCUGUGUUUGUGGGAUAUUAUUUUGUGCAUUUGCACUACUUAGUCACGUUUCUUUAAAUCAAAUCAAAUUUUAUUUGUCACAUACACAUGGUUAGCAGAUGUUAAUGCGAGUGUAGCGAAAUGCUUGUGCUUCUAGUUCCGACAAUGCAGUAAUAACCAAGUAAUCUAACUUACAAUUCCUAAUCUACUGUCUUAUACACAGUGUAAGGGGAUAAAGAAUAUGUACAUAAGGAUAUAUGAAUGAGUGAUGGUACAGAGCAGCAUAGGCAAGAUACAGUAGAUAUCGAGUACAGUAUAUACAUAUGAGAUGAGUAUGUAAACAAAGUGGCAUAGUUAAAGUGGCUAGUGAUACAUGUAUUACAUAAGGAUGCAGUCAAUGAUAUAGAGUACAGUAUAUACGUAUGCAUAUGAGAUGAACAAUGUAGGGUAAGUAACAUUAUAUAAGGUAGCAUUGUUUAAAGUGGCUAGUGAUAUAUUUACAUAAUUUCCCAUCAAUUCCCAUUAUUAAAGUGGCUGGAGUUGAGUCAGUGUCAGUGUGUAGGCAGCAGCCACUCAAUGUUAGUGGUGGCUGUUUAACAGUCUGAUGGCCUUGAGAUAGAAGCUGUUUUUCAGUCUCUCGGUCCCAGCUUUGAUGCACCUGUACUGACCUCGCCUUCUGGAUGAUAGCGGGGUGAACAGGCAGUGGCUCGGGUGGUAGAUGUCCUUGAUGAUCUUUAUGGCCUUCCUGUAAC